Molecule: ribosomal RNA, 427 nt
Filed under: uncultured bacterium
Lineage: Bacteria
Description: bacterial SSU rRNA
Rfam family: Bacterial small subunit ribosomal RNA
Source: RNAcentral
UGGUGAAUUUUGGCCAAUGGGCGCAAGCCUGAUCCAGCCAUGCCGCGUGCAGGAUGAAGGCCUUCGGGUUGUAAACUGCUUUUGUACGGAACGAAAAGACUCUGGUUAAUACCUGGGGUCCAUGACGGUACCGUAAGAAUAAGCACCGGCUAACUACGUGCCAGCAGCCGCGGUAAUACGUAGGGUGCGAGCGUUAAUCGGAAUUACUGGGCGUAAAGCGUGCGCAGGCGGUUAUGUAAGACAGUUGUGAAAUCCCCGGGCUCAACCUGGGGAUUGCAUCUGUGACUGCAUAGGCAGAGUACGGUAGAGGGGGAUGGAAUUCCGCGUGUAGCAGUGAAAUGCGGAGAUAUGCGGAGGAACACCGCUGGAGAAGGCAAUCCCCUGGACCUGUACUGACGCUCAUGCACGAGAGCGGGGGGAGAAAACA